This 505-nucleotide ribosomal RNA is filed under the name Glomus sp. MO-G5. RNAcentral describes it as "SSU rRNA". It matches the Rfam family "Eukaryotic small subunit ribosomal RNA", at positions 569 to 1078 of the family's 1831-position model. The record is from RNAcentral. Lineage: Eukaryota; Fungi; Glomeromycota; Glomeromycetes; Glomerales; Glomeraceae.
AGCAGCCGCGGUAAUUCCAGCUCCAAUAGCGUAUAUUAAAGUUGUUGCAGUUAAAAAGCUCGUAGUUGAAUUUCGGGAUUAGUACGUUGGUCGUGCCUUCGGUACGUACUGGUGUUACUGAUUCCUACCUUCUGACGAACCAUCAUGUCAUUAAUUUGGUGUGGCGGGGAAUCAGGACUGUUACUUUGAAAAAAUUAGAGUGUUUAAAGCAGGCUCGCGCUUGAAUACAUUAGCAUGGAAUAAUGAAAUAGGACGUUGACCCUAUUUUGUUGGUUUCUAGGAUUGACGUAAUGAUUAAUAGGGAUAGUUGGGGGCAUUAGUAUUCAAUUGUCAGAGGUGAAAUUCUUGGAUUUAUAGAAGACUAACUACUGCGAAAGCAUUUGCCAAGGAUGUUUCCAUUAAUCAAGAACGAAAGUUAGGGGAUCGAAGACGAUCAGAUACCGUCGUAGUCUUAACCAUAAGCUAUGCCGACUAGGGAUCGGAUGAUGUUAUUUUUAAUGACUCA